Molecule: long non-coding RNA, 742 nt
Filed under: Gallus gallus (chicken)
Lineage: Eukaryota; Metazoa; Chordata; Aves; Galliformes; Phasianidae
Source: RNAcentral
AUUACUCCCCCCACUGCUGUUUGUCUUUCCUUGCUGUCUGUCUUUGAGAUGCACUGUGAUGAAGAGCAAUGGGGCUCCUGAACUGUGAGGGUGGGCGAAGAAGAAGCUCUGCUCCACCCAACACAGCCCAACACGAUGGAGGAGGAGUGCCCUGAGCCAGCUAUGGCACUUCUGUAUAUAUAACUCCGCUAUCAAAGCAAGAUGCAGACUGCUGUCAUUUACCAUUUGUUGUAUCACAGGAAAAUGAUUAAAAGCAAGUUUUUGCCUGUCUGCUGGAGAUGCUCGUGCUGAUUUCUGAAGCUCCGCUCCUUUGCACAACAUCUGAUCAAAGCUGGUUAUGACACGUGUUCUGGCAGAGGACCUCCUGGUACCUCUCACAGAAGCAGCCCAAGUUUAGCACUGUGUGUCCCUGCUCUCCAGAAUGGAAGCUCGGCCUUUCUGCAGCAGUCAAUAUCUCUUAGACCCGAGCGAUCCAUCUUCUGGCUAAUUUCCAACAAAGAUCACAAUGAAUAUAAAAGAAAUCAUUGAUUGCCGCCAGGAAAUGCAUUAACAAAUCUGUCUCGAGCUCAGUGGCUCCGAGUGGAGCAAAUUUAGUAACUGUCAGUGAUGGGGAAGUCCUCAGUAAUCAGCUGAGCUGACCCAGUGGGAAAGGAGCUGCCCCUGAACCAGGGGGACAGAAUGGGACGGUACAGUGUGUGCUUCCAAAGGGAAUGCUUCAAAAAGAAGCAGGGCAGAAUGUAGC